AGCUUUGCGCAGUGGCAGUAUCGUAGCCAAUGAGGUUUAUCCGAGGCGCGAUUAUUGCUAAUUGAAUAUACUUCCUAGAAAUUAUUCUGUAGAUAUAUUUGUACAUAACGUAUG
Molecule: small nuclear RNA, 114 nt
Filed under: Neogale vison (American mink)
Lineage: Eukaryota; Metazoa; Chordata; Mammalia; Carnivora; Mustelidae
Description: Neovison vison (American mink) U4 spliceosomal RNA (ENSNVIG00000018856.1)
Rfam family: U4 spliceosomal RNA
About the family: U4 small nuclear RNA (U4 snRNA) is a component of the major U2-dependent spliceosome. The structure of U4 snRNA from yeast and human has been reported.
Source: RNAcentral